ACGGCAUGAUGGGGACAUUUUCUAAUGAGAUCCUUUAAUUGUUCCCAUGAUUCAUGGAACUGCUCACCAUCUUGUUGUUAGAAGCUAGUGAGAGCUCGCCAU
Molecule: small nucleolar RNA, 102 nt
Filed under: Cephalotus follicularis
Lineage: Eukaryota; Viridiplantae; Streptophyta; Magnoliopsida; Oxalidales; Cephalotaceae
Description: Plant small nucleolar RNA R71
Rfam family: Plant small nucleolar RNA R71
About the family: R71 is a member of the C/D box family of snoRNAs containing the C (UGAUGA) and D (CUGA) box motifs. Multiple nearly identical copies of this snoRNA have been identified in Arabidopsis, and it is thought to function as a 2'-O-ribose methylation guide for 18S ribosomal RNA.
Source: Rfam by way of RNAcentral